RNAcentral lists this ribosomal RNA (409 nucleotides) under uncultured bacterium. RNAcentral describes it as "bacterial SSU rRNA". It matches the Rfam family "Bacterial small subunit ribosomal RNA", at positions 90 to 525 of the family's 1533-position model. The record is from RNAcentral.
AGGCAGUGGCAGACGGGUUAGUAACGCGUAGAUUAUCAACCCCAUUCACGGGCAUAACCUAUUGAAAAAUUGGUUAAUUCCCGAUAGUCCCUUACGGGUAAAAGCGCAAGCCGGAACGGGAUGGGUCUGCGACCUAUCAGCUAGUUGGUGAGGUAAUGGCUCACCAAGGCAAUGACGGGUAGGGGGCGUGAGAGCGCGACCCUCAACAAUGGGACUGAGACACGGCCCAUACUCCUACGGGAGGCAGCAGUCGAGAAUAUUCCACAAUGGGCGAAAGCCUGAUGGAGCGACGCCGCGUGCAGGAAGAAGGCCUUCGGGUCGUAAACUGCUUUUAUUAGGGAACAACCUUCGGGUGAGCGUACCUAAUGAAUAAGGGAAGCCUAAUUCUGUGCCAGCAGCCGCGGUAAUA